This 388-nucleotide ribosomal RNA is filed under the name Embryophyta sp. RNAcentral's name for it is "partial small subunit ribosomal RNA". It matches the Rfam family "Eukaryotic small subunit ribosomal RNA", at positions 583 to 975 of the family's 1831-position model. The record is from RNAcentral. Lineage: Eukaryota; Viridiplantae; Streptophyta.
UUCCAGCUCCAAUAGCGUAUAUUUAAGUUGUUGCAGUUAAAAAGCUCGUAGUUGGACCUUGGGACGUCACGGUCGGUCCGCCUUCUUGGUGUGCACUGGCCCUCACGUCCCUUCUGCCGGCGGCGUGUUCCUGGCCUUAAUUGGCUGGGUCGCGGUUCCGGCGCCGUUACUUUGAAAAAAUUAGAGUGCUCAAAGCAAGCCUACGCUCUGUAUACAUUAGCAUGGAAUAACGCGAUAGGAGUCUGGUCCUGUUCCGUUGGCCUUCGGGACCGGAGUAAUGAUUAAUAGGGACUGUCGGGGGCAUUCGUAUUUCAUUGUCAGAGGUGAAAUUCUUGGAUUUAUGGAAGACGAACCACUGCGAAAGCAUUUGCCAAGGAUGUUUUCAUUA